Molecule: non-coding RNA, 125 nt
Organism: Triticum aestivum (bread wheat)
Lineage: Eukaryota; Viridiplantae; Streptophyta; Magnoliopsida; Poales; Poaceae
Source: Rfam
CAUAUACUCCCUUCAUCCGGAAAUACUUGUCGAAGGAAUGGAUGUAUUUAGACGUAUUUUAAUUUUAGAUGCAUCCAUUUAUAUCCAUUUUUGCGACAAAUAUUUCUGGACGGAGGGAGUACAUG